UACGUAGGGUGCGAGCGUUAAUCGGAUUUACUGGGCGUAAAGCGUGCGCAGGCGGCCCGUUAAGACAGGUGUGAAAUCCCUGGGCUCAACCUAGGAAUUGCGCUUGUGACUGGCGGGCUCGAGUACGGUAGAGGGGGGCGGAAUUCCUGGUGUAGCAGUGAAAUGCGUAGAGAUCAGGAGGAACACCGAUGGCGAAGGCAGCCCCCUGGGCCUGUACUGACGCUCAUGCACGAAAGCGUGGGGAGCAAACAGG
This 253-nucleotide ribosomal RNA is filed under the name uncultured microorganism. RNAcentral's name for it is "partial 16S ribosomal RNA". It matches the Rfam family "Bacterial small subunit ribosomal RNA", at positions 524 to 776 of the family's 1533-position model. The record is from RNAcentral.